This 359-nucleotide unclassified non-coding RNA is filed under the name Hevea brasiliensis (rubber tree). The record is from RNAcentral. Lineage: Eukaryota; Viridiplantae; Streptophyta; Magnoliopsida; Malpighiales; Euphorbiaceae.
GAAAUCCUCUAUCACUCUAGCCUCACAGCCCUCGCUCCAUUGCAUUGCUACUUUACUCCAUUUCUCUAAUCUCCAUCCGUCUUGUUCCAAGCAGAGCAACCUCUAUCGCUACUCUUUCCAGUUCCCACGAAUUUCCCUCGCUGCACAGCCAUUGAUGCUGUUUGGUGGUUGUGGUGGUGGUGGUGUCCUGUUUGUGCCGUCGCCAAAGACUUUGAUUCCCUCAAUUGUGGGCUCUUCGACUCUUUGUUGAGUGUUCUGCUACUAUUGGGUGAAGGGUUUGAUGCUAAUUUUAAAACGAUAGGGAAUCUAUCAUCUGAAAAAUCAAUAAAUCAAUUUGUUUGUUUUCCCCCCGAUGAAAC